RNAcentral lists this transfer RNA (82 nucleotides) under Vararia minispora EC-137. RNAcentral's name for it is "tRNA-Arg". It matches the Rfam family "tRNA". From Rfam's summary of the family: Transfer RNA (tRNA) molecules are approximately 80 nucleotides in length. Their secondary structure includes four short double-helical elements and three loops (D, anti-codon, and T loops). Further hydrogen bonds mediate the characteristic L-shaped molecular structure. tRNAs have two regions of fundamental functional importance: the anti-codon, which is responsible for specific mRNA codon recognition, and the 3' end, to which the tRNAs corresponding amino acid is attached (by aminoacyl-tRNA synthetases). tRNAs cope with the degeneracy of the genetic code in two manners: having more than one tRNA (with a specific anti-codon) for a particular amino acid; and 'wobble' base-pairing, i.e. permitting non-standard base-pairing at the 3rd anti-codon position. The record is from RNAcentral. Lineage: Eukaryota; Fungi; Basidiomycota; Agaricomycetes; Russulales; Lachnocladiaceae.
GCCGUCGUGGCGCAAUGGUAGCGCAUCGCCUUCCUACUGGUGUAAGAGGCGGGGGUUGCGGGUUCGAUCCCCGUCGGCGGUA